This 1125-nucleotide long non-coding RNA is filed under the name Carica papaya (papaya). RNAcentral's name for it is "long non-coding RNA (CPAP_LNC005984)". The record is from RNAcentral. Lineage: Eukaryota; Viridiplantae; Streptophyta; Magnoliopsida; Brassicales; Caricaceae.
UAUCCUCAAAUGUAGUUAUGUUCAGGUAGUCUUUAAAUAAUAACUCAUUAAUUGAUCAAGUGCUCAGAGAGUUUUUAACUUUUAAAUAAUAAAAUACGGAACUUCUCAUAAUGAUAUAUAGGAGAUUUUAUGGCGCUUAAUUGCUUCUAUGUGGCCUCAACAUCAUGUCUACGUUUAUAUUCUUCUAAAACAAUUGAACACCAAAAAUCAAAUGUAUGUAUUUUUUGACUCCCGAGAAUCAAUCUUGUGUAAAAUGGUUUAGAUCUUCUUGAAUCUAAGACAUUUUCUCCUUAUUAAGCAAUUUACUCUAUCUAGCUAAGCCAUUUGGAUCCUCAACUUAUCAAGGUCUCUUAUUGCAAUAUAAGUCCCUUAAGAUUUCAUCAUGACUCUUUAAUCUCUUUUGAAACCUCAUACGCAGGUUUACAGUUUUCUAAGGCUCCUACAAACUUAAAAAAUGGUGUAUCUCUUUUCUAACUUCCAACACUAAAGACGGAUUUAUUUGGAAUUCAUCCAAUUAGUUAUUACAAUAUAUAUUAACCUUAAAGAUAACAAUCACUUAUCUCCAAAAUAGAAUCAUGACCCCUCGAACGUUCCAUUUUAUGCUAAUAUUUUCCUGUGCUUCAUAAAUACUCCCAAGUUGGUUUCUUUUCUUCCAAAUACCACCAAAAUAAGCUUUAUUUGAACUUGUCUUCCAAUCUCAUAUAUGCAAAACUUAAGUGGUCUGGCUAUAACAAAAUCCGAAACUCUUUAUUUCACUUUACAUAGAUCUUCAACAAGGUAUACUACUAAUUAGAAAACUUAUCAAUGUAUGGAUGUCUCCCAAAAUUACAAUAAUUGAUCUGGUUCUUCUAAGUCUUUAAGUAUGAAAUUUCUUUAUUUCCUUCUAUUGUUAUCCUUUCAUUUAUUUUUAUAGAUGUUCCAGAGAAAGUUCUAAAAUGUCUCCUGAAUUCUAUAUAUUCCCAUGGUAGGGCAAUUACACCUGACAAUUAUCUUUUAUUAUUCUAUUAUCCAAACAUAUUUCCAAGGGUUUAUCUUUUUUACGGGGUUAACAUAAUGGCUAAAGAUUUCUUCUUCCAGUUAUAAGGGUGCCAUCUUAUUCAACUAAAUUCUCAAUUGGCAUAUACU